UUUUGGGCGGCGUGCCUAAUACAUGCAAGUCGAGCGGAUCUUUCAAAAGCUUGCUUUUUGAAGGUCAGCGGCGGACGGGUGAGUAACACGUGGGCAACCUGCCUGUGAGACUGGGAUAACUUCGGGAAACCGGAGCUAAUACCGGAUAAUAUAAGGAACCUCGCAUGGUUCUUUAUUGAAAGAUGGUUUCGGCUAUCACUCACAGAUGGGCCCGCGGCGCAUUAGCUAGUUGGUGAGGUAACGGCUCACCAAGGCGACGAUGCGUAGCCGACCUGAGAGGGUGAUCGGCCACACUGGGACUGAGACACGGCCCAGACUCCUACGGGAGGCAGCAGUAGGGAAUCUUCCGCAAUGGACGAAAGUCUGAUGGAGCAACGCCGCGUGAGCGAUGAAGGCCUUCGGGUCGUAAAGCUCUGUUGUUAGGGAAGAACAAGUGCCGAGAGUAACUGCUCGGCACCUUGACGGUACCUAACCAGAAAGCCACGGCUAACUACGUGCCAGCAGCCGCGGUUAUACGUUAGGUGGCAAGCGUUGUCCGGAAUUAUUGGGGCGGUAAAGCGCGGCGCAGGUGGUCCUUUAAGUCUGAUGUGGAAAGCCCACGGCUCAACCGUGGAGGGUCAUUGGAAACUGGGGGACUUGAGGUGCAGAAGAGGAAAGUGGAAUUCCAGGUGUAGCGGUGAAAUGCGUAGAGAUUUGGAGGAACACAGUGGCGAAGGCGACUUUCUGGUCUGUAACUGACACUGGAGGCCCACGGCUCAAUCCGUGGGAGGGUUCAUUGGAAACUGGGGGACUUGAGUUGCAGGAAGAGGAAAGUGGAAUUCCAAGUGUAGGCGGUGGAAAUGCGUAGAGAUUUGGAGGCACACCAGUGGGCGAAGGCGACUUUCCUGGUCUGUAACUGACACUGAGGCGCGGAAAGCGUGGGGGAGCAAACAGGAUUAGAUACCCUGGUAGUACACGCCGUAAACGAUGAGUGCUAAAGUGUUAGAGGGGUUUUCCUGCCCUUUAGUGCUGCAGCUAACGCAUUAAGCACUCCGCCUGGGGAGUACGGUCGCAAGACUGAAACUCAAAGGAAUUGACGGGGGCCCGCACAAGCGGUGGAGCAUGUGGUUUAAUUCGAAGCAACGCGAAGAACCUUACCAGGUCUUGACAUCCUCUGACACUCCUAGAGAUAGGGAUUUCCCCUUCGGGGGACAGAGUGACAGGUGGUGCAUGGUUGUCGUCAGCUCGUGUCGUGAGAUGUUGGGUUAAGUCCCGCAACGAGCGCAACCCUUGAUCUUAGUUGCCAGCAUUCAGUUGGGCACUCUAAGAUGACUGCCGGUGACAAACCGGAGGAAGGUGGGGAUGACGUCAAAUCAUCAUGCCCCUUAUGACCUGGGCUACACACGUGCUACAAUGGACGGUACAAAGGGCAGCAAAACCGCGAGGUCGAGCCAAUCCCAUAAAACCGUUCUCAGUUCGGAUUGCAGGCUGCAACUCGCCUGCAUGAAGCCGGAAUCGCUAGUAAUCGCGGAUCAGCAUGCCGCGGUGAAUACGUUCCCGGGCCUUGUACACACCGCCCGUCACACCACGAGAGUUUGUAACACCCGAAGUCGGUGGGGUAACCUUUUGGAGCCAGCCGCCUAAGGUGGGACAGAUGAUUG
This 1640-nucleotide ribosomal RNA is filed under the name Sutcliffiella horikoshii. RNAcentral's name for it is "bacterial SSU rRNA". It matches the Rfam family "Bacterial small subunit ribosomal RNA". Lineage: Bacteria; Bacillati; Bacillota; Bacilli; Caryophanales; Bacillaceae. The record is from RNAcentral.